AUUGAACGCUGGCGGCAUGCUUUACACAUGCAAGUCGAACGGUAACAGGCCGCAAGGUGCUGACGAGUGGCGAACGGGUGAGUAAUGCAUCGGAACGUGCCCAGUCGUGGGGGAUAACUACUCGAAAGAGUAGCUAAUACCGCAUACGAUCUAUGGAUGAAAGCGGGGGACCGUAAGGCCUCGCGCGAUUGGAGCGGCCGAUGUCAGAUUAGGUAGUUGGUGGGGUAAAGGCUCACCAAGCCAACGAUCUGUAGCUGGUCUGAGAGGACAACCAGCCACACUGGGACUGAGACACGGCCCAGACUCCUACGGGGGGCAGCAGUGGGGAAUUUUGGACAAUGGGCGCAAGCCUGAUCCAGCAAUGCCGCGUGCAGGAAGAAGGCCUUCGGGUUGUAAACUGCUUUUGUACGGAACGAAACGGCUCUGGUUAAUACCCGGGGCUAAUGACGGUACCGUAAGAAUAAGCACCGGCUAACUACGUG
This 482-nucleotide ribosomal RNA is filed under the name uncultured bacterium. Its description in RNAcentral is "partial 16S ribosomal RNA". It matches the Rfam family "Bacterial small subunit ribosomal RNA", at positions 30 to 507 of the family's 1533-position model. The record is from RNAcentral.